Molecule: ribosomal RNA, 455 nt
Filed under: uncultured organism
Description: partial 16S ribosomal RNA
Rfam family: Bacterial small subunit ribosomal RNA
Source: RNAcentral
CGUACACUCCUACGGGAGGCAGCAGUGGGGAAUAUUGGACAAUGGGCGCAAGCCUGAUCCAGCCAUGCCGCGUGAGUGAUGAAGGCCCUAGGGUUGUAAAGCUCUUUCACCGGUGAAGAUAAUGACGGUAACCGGAGAAGAAGCCCCGGCUAACUUCGUGCCAGCAGCCGCGGUAAUACGAAGGGGGCUAGCGUUGUUCGGAUUUACUGGGCGUAAAGCGCACGUAGGCGGACUAUUAAGUCAGGGGUGAAAUCCCGGGGCUCAACCCCGGAACUGCCUUUGAUACUGGUAGUCUUGAUUUCGAGAGAGGUGAGUGGAAUUCCGAGUGUAGAGGUGAAAUUCGUAGAUAUUCGGAGGAACACCAGUGGCGAAGGCGGCUCACUGGCUCGAUACUGACGCUGAGGUGCGAAAGCGUGGGGAGCAAACAGGAUUAGAAACCCCAGUAGUCCCAUGAU